UGAGUAACACGUGGGUGAUCUGCCUUGCACUUCGGGAUAAGCUUGGGAAACUGGGUCUAAUACCGGAUAGGACAGCUGUUUAGUGUCAGUUGUGGAAAGUUUUUUCGGUGCAAGAUGAGCUCGCGGCCUAUCAGCUUGUUGGUGGGGUAAUGGCCUACCAAGGCGUCGACGGGUAGCCGGCCUGAGAGGGUGUACGGCCACAUUGGGACUGAGAUACGGCCCAGACUCCUACGGGAGGCAGCAGUGGGGAAUAUUGCACAAUGGGCGGAAGCCUGAUGCAGCGACGCCGCGUGGGGGAUGAAGGCCUUCGGGUUGUAAACUCCUUUCGACAGGGACGAAGCGUAAGUGACGGUACCUGUAUAAGAAGCACCGGCUAACUACGUGCCAGCAGCCGCGGUAAUACGUAGGGUGCGAGCGUUGUCCGGAAUUACUGGGCGUAAAGAGCUCGUAGGUGGUUUGUCGCGUCGUCUGUGAAAUUCCGGGGCUUAACUCCGGGCGUGCAGGCGAUACGGGCUGACUUGAGUGCUGUAGGGGAGACUGGAAUUCCUGGUGUAGCGGUGAAAUGCGCAGAUAUCAGGAGGAACACCGAUGGCGAAGGCAGGUCUCUGGGCAGUAACUGACGCUGAGGAGCGAAAGCAUGGGUAGCGAACAGGAUUAGAUACCCUGGUAGUCCAUGCCGUAAACGGUGGGCGCUAGGUGUAGGGGGCUUCCACGUCUUCUGUGCCGUAGCUAACGCAUUAAGCGCCCCGCCUGGGGAUACGCCGCAAG
RNAcentral lists this ribosomal RNA (768 nucleotides) under uncultured Actinomycetes bacterium. RNAcentral's name for it is "bacterial SSU rRNA". It matches the Rfam family "Bacterial small subunit ribosomal RNA", at positions 107 to 892 of the family's 1533-position model. Lineage: Bacteria; Bacillati; Actinomycetota; Actinomycetes. The record is from RNAcentral.